This 1183-nucleotide ribosomal RNA is filed under the name uncultured bacterium. RNAcentral describes it as "bacterial SSU rRNA". It matches the Rfam family "Bacterial small subunit ribosomal RNA", at positions 276 to 1467 of the family's 1533-position model. The record is from RNAcentral.
ACGAUGCCUAGGGGUCCUGAGAGGGUUAUCCCCCACACUGGUACUGAGACACGGACCAGACUCCUACGGGAGGCAGCAGUAAGGAAUAUUGGGCUAUGGGCGCAAGCCUGACCCAGCCAUGCCGCGUGCAGGAAGACGGCCUUAUGGGUUGUAAACUGCUUUUGUUAGGGAAUAUAACCCCCGUACGUGUACGGGGCUGAAUGUACCUAAAGAAUAAGCAUCGGCUAACUCCGUGCCAGCAGCCGCGGUAAUACGGAGGAUGCAAGCGUUAUCCGGAUUCAUUGGGUUUAAAGGGUGCGCAGGCGGACCAGUAAGUCAGUGGUGAAAUCCUACGGCUCAACCGUAGAACUGCCAUUGAUACUGUUGGUCUUGAGUCUAGUUGAAGUGGGCGGAAUGUAGCAUGUAGCGGUGAAAUGCAUAGAUAUGCUACAGAACACCUAUUGCGAAGGCAGCUCACUAAACUAUAACUGACGCUCAUGCACGAAAGCGUGGGGAGCAAACAGGAUUAGAUACCCUGGUAGUCCACGCCGUAAACGAUGAUCACUCGUUGUUGGCGAUACACAGUCAGCGACCAAGCGAAAGUGAUAAGUGAUCCACCUGGGGAGUACGAUCGCAAGGUUGAAACUCAAAGGAAUUGACGGGGGCCCGCACAAGCGGUGGAGCAUGUGGUUUAAUUCGAUGAUACGCGAGGAACCUUACCUGGGCUCAAAUGUAUGUUGACGUAUGGUGAAAGCCAUAUUUCUUCGGACAAUAUACAAGGUGCUGCAUGGUUGUCGUCAGCUCGUGCCGUGAGGUGUCGGGUUAAGUCCCAUAACGAGCGCAACCCCUAUCAUUAGUUGCCAUCAGGUCAAGCUGGGGACUCUAAUGAAACUGCCUACGCAAGUAGUGAGGAAGGUGGGGAUGACGUCAAAUCAGCACGGCCCUUACGUCCAGGGCUACACACGUGCUACAAUGGCCAGUACAAAGGGCAGCUACCUGGUGACAGGAUGCUAAUCUCAAAAGCUGGUCUCAGUUCGGAUCGAAGUCUGCAACCCGACUUCGUGAAGCUGGAAUCGCUAGUAAUCGCGCAUCAGCCAUGGCGCGGUGAAUACGUUCCCGGGCCUUGUACACACCGCCCGUCAAGCCAUGGAAGCUGGGGGUACCUGAAGUCGGUGACCAGUAAUAGGAGCUGCCUAGGGUAACU